This 339-nucleotide unclassified non-coding RNA is filed under the name soil metagenome. RNAcentral describes it as "partial contains 5.8S ribosomal RNA, internal transcribed spacer 2, and large subunit ribosomal RNA". The stretch from base 1 to 120 matches the Rfam family "5.8S ribosomal RNA", at positions 35 to 154 of the family's 154-position model. The record is from RNAcentral.
GAUGAAGAACGUAGCGAAAUGCGAUACGUAGUGUGAAUUGCAGAAUUCAGUGAAUCAUCGAAUCUUUGAACGCACAUUGCACCUCUCGGUAUUCCGGGAGGUAUGCCUGUUCGAGCGUCAUUUGUACCCUCAAGCUCUGCUUGGUGUUGGGUGUUUGUUCCGCCUCUGUGUGUGAACUCGCCUCAAAACAAUUGGCAGCCGGCGUACUUGUUUCGGAGCGCAGCACAUUUUGCGAUCCAGAUCAACGUACAGCGGCAUCCAAGAAGCCUUAUUUAACGCUCUUGACCUCGCAUCAGGUAGGGAUACCCGCUGAACUUAAGCAUAUCAAUAAGCGGAGGA